Salvia hispanica is the source of this 360-nucleotide non-coding RNA. NCBI's taxonomy places the organism in Eukaryota, Viridiplantae, Streptophyta, Magnoliopsida, Lamiales, Lamiaceae. The record is from RefSeq and is a predicted model, not a curated record.
GCCACCCUCCCCCGACAAAACAAACAAAAUCACCAUAGCCAUUAUUCAUGAUCUUCAAGUUUUGUUCUUGGUUGAAUUAAUCAGGUGAAGGAGCAGUCGGCCCAAGUAAGUUGGAUAACAACAAAGAACGGAGCCGGUGAUCAUCGAGUUUCUUUUAAGCUCAUUCGAGGUGAGAUGAUUGAAGAUCGUUGUGGAUAUUUCUUUUGCUUCUUCGUCAGCUCCAAAUUCUUAUUUGGUCAUCGAUAACCACCUUUUGUUAUGGAUUAUAUCUUUUGUAGUUAUGGCAUGUUGGGAGUAAAACUUAUGGAGUAUAACUUUUGCUAUGUUUGUAAAGAAAAAGUAUGUGAAUAUGCUUUUAUA